AAUGAGCCAAUUCAUAGUCUUUUGCAGUCACCUUACCAAAGUCCAAGAUCAUUAAGUUCAUUGAAAUCUGCACCUCAUUCUAUGGAUGUAGAUUCUGAGUAUAACCAAUCAGUAUAUACAGACUCCCAUUGUGGAAGUCCUUGUGCUCCAACAUUGGAAUUCCAGAGGUUUCAUCAGAAUAAUGAAUUUAAACUGACGGGUAAGAAGAAUGAUGAGAACUCAGUUUCACUCACCUUGCGAAUUAAAAGCCCUUCGGGUAUGAGUAUAACCGGUCAGUAUAUACAGACUCCCAUUGUGGAAGUCCUUGUGCUCCAACAUUGGAAUUCCAAAGGUUUCACCAGAAUAAUGAAUUUAAAUUGACGAGUAAGAAGAAUGAUGAGAACUCAGUUUCACUGACCUUGCGAAUUAAAAGCCCUUCGG
This 420-nucleotide long non-coding RNA is filed under the name Nicotiana benthamiana. RNAcentral's name for it is "long non-coding RNA (NBEN_LNC034930)". Lineage: Eukaryota; Viridiplantae; Streptophyta; Magnoliopsida; Solanales; Solanaceae. The record is from RNAcentral.